Molecule: ribosomal RNA, 406 nt
Filed under: uncultured bacterium
Lineage: Bacteria
Description: partial 16S ribosomal RNA
Rfam family: Bacterial small subunit ribosomal RNA
Source: RNAcentral
AUUGAACGCUGGCGGCAGGCCUAACACAUGCAAGUCGAACGAUUGGCGGACGGGUGAGUAAUGUCUGGGAAACUGCCUGAUGGAGGGGGAUAACUACUGGAAACGGUAGCUAAUACCGCAUACCAUCGGAUGUGCCCAGAUGGGAUUAGCUAGUAGGUGGGGUACAGGGUCACCUAGGCGACGAUCCCUAGCUGGUCUGAGAGGAUGACCAGCCACACUGUAACUGAGACACGGGCUAUACUCCGACGGGAGGCAGCAGUGGGGAAUAUUGCACAAGGGGUGCAAGCCUGAUGCAGCAAUGCCGCGUGUAUGAAGAAGGCCUUCGGGUUGUAAAGUACUUUCAGCGGGGAGGCGUUACCCGAAGAAGAAGCACCGGCUAACUCCGUGCCAGCAGCCGCGGUAAUAC